GGGGCCAUAGCUCAGCUGGGAGAGCGCUUCCAUGGCAUGGAAGAGGUCAGGGGUUCGAGCCCCCUUGGCUCCACCA
This 76-nucleotide transfer RNA is filed under the name Geitlerinema splendidum. Its description in RNAcentral is "tRNA-Ala". It matches the Rfam family "tRNA". Rfam says of the family: Transfer RNA (tRNA) molecules are approximately 80 nucleotides in length. Lineage: Bacteria; Bacillati; Cyanobacteriota; Cyanophyceae; Geitlerinematales; Geitlerinemataceae. RNAcentral also lists the same sequence under 1 other name. The record is from RNAcentral.